UGCGUAGGCGGGCUAAUAAGUCAGUGGUGAAAUCUUCCGGCUCAACCGGGAACCUGCCAUUGAUACUGUUAGUCUUGAGUUCGGUUGAGGUAGGCGGAAUGUGUAAUGUAGCGGUGAAAUGCUUUGAUAUUACACAGAACACCAAUUGCGUAGGCAGCUUACUAGACCGACACUGACGCUGAGGCACGAAAGCGUGGGGAGCGAACAGGAUUAGAUACCCUGGUAGUCC
RNAcentral lists this ribosomal RNA (229 nucleotides) under uncultured bacterium. RNAcentral's name for it is "partial 16S ribosomal RNA". It matches the Rfam family "Bacterial small subunit ribosomal RNA", at positions 568 to 796 of the family's 1533-position model. The record is from RNAcentral.